Molecule: long non-coding RNA, 17049 nt
Filed under: Homo sapiens (human)
Lineage: Eukaryota; Metazoa; Chordata; Mammalia; Primates; Hominidae
Description: PREDICTED lncRNA (TCONS_00229670)
Source: RNAcentral
GGCAAAACGUCCGCCCGGGCCCGAGGCGGGCGGAGGCAGCUGUGGUUACGUGCGGGGGGCCGGUGACGCAGUCGCGGGGCGCUGGGACGCGGCUUGCGGAGCCGGCCGGCGAGCGCAGGCCCCAGGCUCGGGCGCGGCGGCGGGACAGCACCUACCUUCCCGGCUUCGGGUCCGGGAGUGCGGGGCGCGGAGCCGCCGGAGCGCUGCCUCCCUCCUUCCUCCUCCCCUCGCCCCCGCCCCGCGGCGCGACACACAAUACUCGCCGGAAGCGGAAGCCGCGCCGAGGCUCGUGUCAGUGGAAGCUGGGGUGUCGGCGGGCGGCCGCGGCCGGGUCUAGCGGUGCCUGCGGAAGAAGGAGGAGGAGGGCUGGCGAUGAGAAGCAGCAGGGGGAAUCAAGGGCAAGAAGGGACCCAGAGGGGCAGGUGGCUGAGAUGCUGGCGUCCAGGUGACCCGAGGAAUCCUCUGGAGAUACAGGCCCGCGCAUGCGCGUGCUCGAGCGCUGAAGCCCAUUGCCCGCAGGGCGCUGGACUGGCGCCCCGGCCGGCGAGGCUGUCUAGUCCAGGCUCCAGGCCCCGGCUCUGGCCAGGCGCCGCCGCCUCCCGGUGCAGCUGAAAGUCGACGAAGAGGGCGGGGCGGGGGCGGCUUGUGGACUUCCACACUUUUCCUCUCUUCGGGCCAGUCUGGGGAGAGGGUGGCUAGCUGUGGCGGCGGCCAAUUACGUGGCGGACCUGCGGGGCUAAGCUGGCACGUCACUUCCGACUAGUGGAGUUUUUAGCCUUUUAACAUUCAAGGAUUAGGUAAGUUCUCCCCGCGGUAGACUUCAAAUACUCUUUGUCCUGCCCCUGCUUGGCGAAAUUUACCGAAAUUAUCUACCUAUCCCGCUGGAGUGGGAGCCGGGGGAGAGCUGGAACCGCGUCUCUGCUGCUCACCUUUGUGUCCUUAGCUCCUUCGCAUGGGGUCCGACCGCAACACGUGCGCUGGAUAAACGCUUGUUAACUGGGUGAGAGCCAAGGCCUGUUCUUUCCACUUCUGGGGCUGUGACUUGAGUUUCUCCGCAGGAGCAGAUAGUGUUUGUGUAGGGACUGCGGACUUUUGCAUUACAGCCUCCCUGCUUUGCCCGCCUGCUGCUGGAAGCUUAGCAGGUAAAAGUCUUGCAGUGAAAAACCCGAGGACCCUUACCGCAAGUGUCUUUUGCUCCCAGCUACUGAUACUGGAUUCCACUCGUGAUUCUCCCUUUCUUAGCGCAUUCAUGAUAUAGACAUCAGUCUCUGAGCUGGAGGAGGACAAAGGCAGCGGUCCUGUGAAUUCUAUGCUCUAGCUUGGGUUAAGGGAUUUGGAAUUGCACUUGUUUCAGAGAGCUCCCUCUUUGCCCACUAGCAGGGCAUUAGCUGGUGCUGAAGACAGUGGCUGCUUGGCGAGCCUGGAUCUCCAAGUGACCCCCUCAGCAACUCCUGAUGAACAGGACUGAAGCCAAUAUUAAAGCAAGUCAACCAAAGGUUCUCUGGUGUAGACAAGACAGCAAAAGGACAGACUACCUUGUGGAACCUAGCAUUGUUCUCCUUCUGCAGCACUAAGUAACAUUUGUUCUCCGUUAAGAUCUUUGCAAACCACACACAAGAAUUGCUGGUCAUCCUGCCAAUAGAUGCUGCUCACAGAACCAAAUUUCCUGUGCUGAAUUGUCACUCAUGGGCUUGAGAGUAGGAGACUGGAGACCAAGGUGGCUAGAAUCCAGUUGGGCCUGAUGUCUCCCUGUUGAAAGGGCUCCUUGUGGAAUGAAUAGCACAUGGCUCCUGUGGUGGAUCUGAUAGUGGCAUAGCACCAAGUGAUGCAGGCCUGCCAGGGGCCACAGACACAGAAGAUGCUCCCGGGGUCCCCCAUGUACUCCAGACACACUGCAGGCCACCUCUCCCAGCAGGUUGCCAGUCAUGGGCCCCAUCAUCAUGACUUCUGUCCAAGGUACUGUGUGCAGAAAUGUGAUUGAGAUUCAAGUCAGGGCCUCUCUGCCCUUUUCCCUCCAGAAACAAAACCAAGAUAAUUUAUCCUGAACACGGUGAAAAAAGGAAGGGAGGGAGGAGAAAAAGUCCGGGUCUCACCUGGGAUUCUCUGUCUCCUGCAACAUGAAGGAUUUAGCCUGGGAGGAGGUGGUGAGAACUCUGGGAGAGAAAAAAGAAGGAAAGAAUAGUUUUACCCAUGCUGAAGUUAAUUUAAACCUUCACCUAGAGAAGCAAAAAAAAAAAACCCACACUUUCCCAUUUUGUGCCUCCCUUCCUAGAGUUUUAGCCAAAGGUUUAGCUAAGUAAUUGGUUUUACCAGCGCACUCACUCCUCCUAUCCCAAGUCUGUUUGACUCCCUCCCCAUCAUCCUCCUCACCUCUUUUCAGGCAGGGUGGGGAUAGCAGCAGGAGGAGAUUUUGGGAGCCUGGCAACUCCUGCAAGGACCGCAGGACAGCCCCUCUGUGGGGAUGCGUGGUGCCCCAUCUGCCGCCCUUCUGAAGAAUGCACUGCCUUCACUUUUUACUGUGUUAGAGUCCAUCCAGACUGUUCUAUCCAAAAAAGUUUCUUUUUCCCCCACAGGCAAUCAGGAAAUGAUUCCUUUCCCGACUGCUUCUGUCUAGUGCCUGGGAAUCUUGAGUCAAUCCCUCAGUAAGUCAGUGACUAGGGAAAUCCCUCUCUGAGCCUCCCAGUUCAUGUUGCUUAGGGAACCUGAUAUUUUCGUGAAACCUGCCUACACAUGGGCAGCCCAACAGCAGAACAAAUGGUGGUGACCAAAGUGAACAAAGAAGUAUAGUUGUGCCAGCUUCGUAGUUGCCCAUGUGGACAAGUCAGCAGGAUCAGGACACGAGGAAGAGUAAAUGUGAGACAGUCAAUGUGACUUCUGCGAUAAACAGAUUUUUAAACCCCGAAAUUUUGCAAAAUUUUGGUGAAACCUGAACUUUCUUCGUUGCAUAUACUGGCACUAUCUGUACCAUCAUACAACUGUCUCACAUUAAAGCUAUUUUUCUUGGGCACUGAUGAGUAAGGUUGGUAUAAGUUCCUCAGAUCAACAAAAACCCAUUUUCCUGUAAGUCUUACAUUUAGUAUUUAAGGAACUAAAACUUAAAUACAUUUUGUGAAAUGGUUGACACUUCACUGAUAAUGAUUUAUUGCUUGGAUUAAUAAAUUUUCCAAAAGUUGUCUUAUGUAGAAUAUGGUUUGCAACCAGCAGAACCAUUAAUCUAUACUGCAAUGAUAUGCACUAUGUAUAAUUGUUUAAAAGCCUCUACUUAAUGAUGUAAAAUGCUCUAUUUAAUUACACAUUUGGGUAAACUGUAUACUAACAUCUGAUGGCAUUUUUCCACUGUUUGUUGCUUUUUUCAAAUACUUUAUUGUACAAAGCUGUUCUUAAUAUUUUUCAAGUUUUUUUCUUUGAAUUUUGCUAAUGUUUUCCUUGAAUUAUGAGCACUGACAGAAUGUGCUUAGCACUUUUGGCUAUUCACACAGCUUUUGAGCAUGAUUUGCAUCCAAUAUUUACAUUGCUAGCAAUAAUAAGCCAUCUGUGAGUUUUGUCAAAAGUUAUUGGGGAUUUUUUAAAUUUUAGAAAUGCAAAUUAUUGUUUCUUUGAACUAACUCUUAUGCAGUUGCAAAGGCAUUUCCAGUUGUUAUAGUUUGUGUACAAUAUCAGGUGUUCCAGAUUAUGAUUCAUUAUUAAUAUCAUUGCUUCCUUGUUCCCUCUGAGGUCCAGAAGAUUCAUGUUUACAAUAUUUAGAAACAAUGUUAAAAAGGUAUCCAAAGUUUGUCACUUUAUUAUUAGUUUGUUCUUAAUAUUCUGUUUAAGUUUUUGAAUUCAUAGAUAUCAAAACGCUGCACAAUUAUGAUUUCCACAGGAAUAACAACACACUAACAAUAAGAACCAAAAACAGCAAAUAGGCUGCCUACAAGUUUUGACAAUAUUAGGAUAAUGAUAAUGACAGUUUUUCUAAAUCUCACAGUAAAGAAUGCAGCAACCCAGCAACACUGCUACCUGUGGCCUCAGGCUGCAGUGUCAGCUCUUCCCUGGGUCUCCAGCCUGCCAGUCUAACCUGAAAAUUAUGUACUUGCCAGCCCCCACAGUCACGUGAGUGAACUGGCCCAGGCUGGUCACCAGGGUCAGUUUCUCUGUGUGUCAUUAAUUCAUUCAGUCUUCAGCAGUCUCUUUGGAGCUGAGAUGUACCUACCAUCUGCCUUUUGGGUGCUUAGGGUGGAGAACCAGAAAAGUAUAACCUAGUGUGUAUCCUCAAAGAGCUAACAAUAUGGGGUGGUACCUAUAGGUCUGGAAACACUUUACUGACUCUGUGAGGCAUACCAGGAGACGUCAGAGAACAGUCCCUCCUCAAAUGCCAAAUGAGAUGCAGAAGAAAUAGUUUGCUCAAGUUCAUGGGCCAGAUAUCCCAGUGGUCAGGGAGUUUCAUGAAUGAGAUGGAACUUUGCAUGGAACCCGAGGGAUGUGUAUGAUUUGAGUAGAUGAAGAAAAUGAGACUUUCCAAGCAGCUAGAAGUUAGGGAGCAGCAAGAUGUGUGGUGGGAUUGAGCACAGUUGGUUCAGAGGAUAGACUGCAGUUUUAAUAAUUUGUAGUAAAUAUCUCCCAACUGUUUGGCACUAUUGGAGCAAGUUCUUGAAUGCCAAAUGAAGGCAUAAAUCAGUAAGAGGCAUAAUAAAAGGCUGAGCAGUGCUUGGCUUUUUACGAACUGAUCCUGAUAGGAGCAGCUGUUCAACAAAGUUGCCAGGUCACCGUUACAUAGUCCCUGCCUUCUAGGGGCUCACUGCCUACUGGGAGAGACAGUCUGAAAGUUGGUGGAGCAUGUAACUGUUGGAUGAGGAGUUUGAGCCUGUGGACUGUGGGACCCCCGAGGAGGGUGUGGCUACUCUAGGCAGAACAAUCCCACAGUUUAUUUAUAUUUAACCUUGAAAUUCAUUAGAGGAUUUUUCAGCAGAGGUUUGGUACUUGUUAAUGUUAAGGUUUGCAUUCUCUAGAACCUCAAGGAAAGCUGUACCGUGCAUAAUGUACCCUCUUAUGUUAAUGUUGUGUACUGUGAUCCUGUUUCAGGGACUUGCACUUAGGAAUCUGUUACAGUGAGCACAGAAGCAGACCUGUGGGCUCAUAGUCUUCACCCCCCACCCAUAUAUACAAGAUGAACAGAGUGGAGGUUAAACAACUUGACUAAACAACACAGUUCAUGGUAAAGCCCAAGACUGUACCUGCCCAUCCACUGCCUUUUCCAUGUAUCCUGGAACUGAGCAUAGACCUCUUCCCAGGCAGAGCUGACAGCAAGUAAAGGAGAUCAUAAUCAGGGGACCAAACAACUUUGUCUAAAGUGUGAAUGUCACCUAAGGAGAAGCUGUGAGAUCAGAAGGGUGGGGCAGAGGAGCAGACACCAUGAGGGAGAGUCCUUGGGGGUACAUCUGCCAGACUGACACUGUCUGGCCUGGGCAGUGGAGGGGCUAGCAGGAACCACAGGUACUGGUGGUGUGGCUACUACCGUUACAACUGCCUGUGCUUGGACAUGGACCCUCUGCAAUAUGCGGCAGUUUCAUUCAUUGCCCCCUACAUUCUACACCAAGUAGAAAUGGAAGGCAAUUGGAUACUUCACAGACAAGAUCUAAGUGGAGAAGGAAUGCGUCCUGUGGCUGCAGAGAUCCUUGGAGCUUGGAGGGGAGAGCUUGAGCCCCACUGAUGAUGACCUCCCACAGCUCGCCAACUCAGCCCUCCCUAAGUCCCCAUCGGGGGCCAAUUCUCACUCUGGGGUUGGGGGGACUCCACCAUAGCUCAUCCAUCAUAGGGAUGUUGGUAUCUACUGUGGGUUGGGUAGGGCCGAUGUGCUGAGGAUGGCUCCCCCACAAGCAAGAGAUGUGGAUUUGGGGAGCUUCCCAUCUUGUGUUGAAGGAACAUAACUCAGAAUAAUAAGAGCCAACUAUAACAAACCCACAGCCAACAUCAUACUGAAUGGGCAAAAGCUGCAGGCAUUCCCCUUGAAAAGUGGCACAGGAUAAGGAAGCCCUUUCUCACCACUCCUAUUCAAUAUAGUGUUGAAAGUCCUGAUCACAGCAGUCAGGCAACAGAAAUAAUAAAGGGCAUCCAAAUAGGAAGAGAGGAAGUCAAACUAUCCUUGUUUGCAGACAGUAUGAUUCUAUAUCUAGAAAACCCCAUAGCCUCAGCCCAAAAGGUCCUUCAUCUGAUAAUUUCAGCAAAGUUUCAGGAGACAAAAUCAGUGUACAAAAAUCACUAACAUUCCUAUACACAGUCGCCAAGCCAAGAGCCAAAUCAGGAGCACAAUCCCAUUCAUAAUUGCCACAAAAAAGAAUAAAAUACCCAGGAAUGCAGCUAACCAAGGAAGUAAAGGAUCUCUACAAUGAGAAUCACAAACGCUGCUCAAAGAAAUCAGAGAUGACACAAACAAAUGGAAAAACUUUCCAUGCUCAUGGCUAGGAAGAAUCAAUAUCAUUAAAGUGGCCAUACUACCCAAAGCAAUUUAUAGAUUCAAUGCUAUUCCUAUCAAACUAUCAAUUACAUUUUUCACAGAACUAGAAAAAACUUAAAAUUCAUAUGGAACCAAAAAGCCUGAGUAGUCAAGGCAAUCCUAAACAAAAAGAACAAAGGUGGAGGCAUCACAUUACCUAACUUCAAACUACAGGGCUACCAUGACCAAAACAGCAUGGUACUGGUACAAAAGCAGACACACAGACCAGUGGGACAGAAUAGAGAGCCCAAAAAUAAGGCCACAAACCUACAGCCAUCUGAUCUUCAACAAAGUUGACAAAAACAAGCAAUGGGGAAAGGUCUCCCUAUUCAAUAAAUGGUGCUGGGAUAACUGGCUGGCCAUAUGCAGAAGAUCGUAACUGGACCCCUUUUACUAUGUACAAAAAUUAAGAUGGUUUAAAGAGUUAAAACCCAAAAUUAUAAAAAUCCUGAAGAUAACUUAGGCAAUACCAUUCUGGACAUAGGAACUGGCAAAUAUUUCAUGAUGAAGACACCAAAAGCAAUUGUAACAAAAGCAAAAAUGGACAAAUUGGAUUUAAGAGCUUUUUCAUAGCAAAAUAAACAACAGGGCAGACAAUCUACCAAAUGACAGAAAAUUUUUGCAAACUAUGCAUCUGACAAGGGGCUAAUAUCUAGCAUCUAUAAGGAAUUUAAACACAGUUACAGGAAAAAAAAAACCCACUCCAUUAAAAAAUGGGCAAAGGACAUGAACAGACACUUUUCAAAAAAGACAUACAUACAGCCAACUAGCGUGUUAAAGAAAACCUCAAUUAUCACUGAUCAUUAGAGAAAUGCAAAAUCAAAACCAUGAUGAGAUAUCAUCUGCCAGUCAGGAUGGCUACAAAAAAGUAAAAAAAUAAUAGAUGUUGGUGAGGUUAUGGAGAAAAGGAACUUAUACACUUGUUAGGAGUGUAAAUUAGUUCAAUCACUGUGGACAGCAGUGUGGUGAUUCCUCAGAGAGCUAAAAACAACUACCAUUUGACUCACCAAUCCCAUUACUGGAUAUUUACCUAAAGGAAUAUAAAUCAUUCCACCAUAAAGACACAUGCAAGUGUAUGUUCAUUGCAGCACUAUUAACAGUAACAAAGCUGGGCACAGUGGCUCACCUCACGACUGUAAUCCCAGCACUUUGGGAGGCUGAGGUAGGCGGAUCACCUGAGGUCGGCAGUUUGAGACCAGCCUGACCAACAUGGAGAGACCCCAUCUCUACUAAAAAUACAAAAUUAGCCAGGUGUGGUGGCUCAUGCCUGUAAUCCCAGCUACUUGGGAGGCCAAGGCAGGAGAAUUGCUUGAACCCAGGAGGCAGAGGUUGCAGUGAGCCGAGAUCACACCAUUGCACUCUAGCCUGGUGAAGGAGCAAGACUCCAUCUCAAAAAAAAAAAAAAAAAAGAAAGAAAGAAAAAUACACAUUCAGAGGAGACAAAAAAUAAAAAACAAUGAUGCAUGCCCACAGGAUCUAGAAAAUAACUUCUUAAGGGCAAAUCUAGGAGUUAUUGGCCUUAAAGAAGAGAUAGAGAAAGAGAUAGGAAUAGAAAGUUUGUUGAAAGGGAUAAUAACAUAGAACUUCCUAAACCUACAGAAAGAUAUUUAUAUCCAAGUACAAGAAGGUUAUAGAACACCAGGCCAAUUUAACCCAAAGAUUACCUCAAGGCAUUUAAUAAUCAAACUCCCACAGGACAAGGGUAAAGAAAGGAUCCUAAAAGCAGCAAGAGAAAAGAAACAGAUAACAUACAAUGGAGCUCCAAUACAUCUGGCAGUAUAUUUUUCAGUGGAAACCUUACAAGCCAGGAGAGAGUGACAUGACAUAUGUUAAAGUGCUGAAGGGAAAAAACCUUUUACCCUAGAAUAGUAUAUCCAGCAAAAAUAUCCUUCAAACAUGAAGAAUAAACAAAGACUUCCCCAGACAAACAAAAGCUGAGGGAUUUCAUCAACACUAGACUGGUCCCAUAAGAAACGCUUAAGGGAGUACUUUGGUCAGAAAGAAACAGACAUUAAUGAGCAACAAAGAAUCAUCUAAAGGUAAAAAACUCACUGUUAAGAGUAAGUACACAGAAAAACCCAAAGUGUGAUAACAUUGUAACUGUGGUGUGUAAGUAGAAAGAAUAAAUGAUAAACCAAUCAAAAAUAGUAACUACAACUUUUCAAGACCAGUCAGAAAAAUAAGAUAAAAUUAGAAACAACAAAAAGUUAAAAAGUGGGGGGAUGAAGUUAAGAUGUAGAGUUUUUAUUAGUUUUUUGUUUGUUAAUGCAAACAGUGUUACCAGGUUAAAAUAAUGGGUUACAAAAUAGUAUUUGUAAUCCUUAUGGUAACCUCAAACCUAAAAACAUACACUGGAUACAUAAAAAAUAAAAAGCAAAAACCUAAAUCAUAUCACCAGAGCAAACUACCUUCCCUAAAGGAAGACAGGAAGAAAAGAAAGAAGAAGACCACAAAACAACCAGAAAACAAAUAAAUAACAAGGCAGGAGUAAGUCUUUACUUAUCGAUAAUACAUUGAAUGGAAAUAUGGACUAAACUCUCCAAUCAAAAGACAUAGACUGGCUGAAUGAAUGGAGAAAACAAGACCCAUUGAUCUGUUGCCUACAAGAAACACACUUAAACUAUAAAGACACACAUAGGCUGAAAGUAAAGAGUUGGAAAGAGUUAUUCCAUGCCAAUGGAAACCAGGAAAAAGAGAAGGAGUAUUGAUUUUGAUACAAAAACUAUGAGACAAAUAAAGUCACUAUACAAUGAUAAAGGGGUUAAUAUGGUUUCCAUUUGUGCCCCACCCAAAUUUCGUGUUCUAUUGUAAUCCUCAAUGUUGGAGGUGGGGCCUGGUGGGACGUGAUUAGAUCAUGGGGGUGGAUCUUUCAUGACUAAUUCAGCACCAUCUUCUUAGUGCUGUUCUCAUGAUAGUGAGUUCUUCUGAAAUCUGGUUGCUUAAAAGUGUGUAGCACCUCUCCACACCACCCGCUUGCCUUGGUCUACUCCUGCUAUGUAGAUGCUUGCUCCCACUUUGCAUUAUUCCAUGAGUAAAAGCUCCCUCAGGCCUUCCCAGAAUCAGAUGCCGCUAUGCUUCCUGAACAGCCUGUGGAACUAUGAGCCAAUUCAACCUCUUUUCUUCAUAAAUUAACAAGUCUUGGGUAUUUCUUUAUAGCAGUGUGAGAACAGAAUAAUACAGAAAAUUGGUAAAGAGGAGUGAGGCAUUGCUAGAAAGAUACCUGAAAAUGUGGAAACAGCAGUGGAACUGGGAAAUAGACAGAGGUUGGAAGAGUGUGGAGGGCUCCGAAGAUAGGAAGAUGAGGGGAAGUUUGGAAUUUCUUAGAGAUUUGUUAAAUUGUUUUGACCAAAAUACUGAUGGUGAUAUGGACAAUGAAGUCCAGGCUGAGGAGGUCUCAGAUGGAGAUGAGGGACUUAUUGGGACCUGGAGUGAAGGUCACUUUUGUUAGGACAUUGUGGUUGGAGACAUUGUGCCCCUGCCCUAGGAAUCUGUGGAACUUUGAACUUGAGAGCGAAGAUUUAGGGUAUCUGGCAGAAGAAAUUUCUAAGCAGCAAAGCGUUCAAGACGUGGCCUGGCUGCUUCUGGUAGUCUGUGCUCAUAUUUGUGAGCAAAGACAUGACAAGAAACUGGAACUUAUAUUUAAAAAGGAAGCAGAGUGUAAAAGUUUGGAGAAUUUGCAGCCUGGCCAUGUUGUAGAAAAGAAAAAAACCAUUUUCUGGAGAGGAAUUCAAGCUAGCUGCAGAAAAUUGCAAGUAACAAGGAGCAAAAUGUUGAUAGCCAAGAUAGUGGGAAAAACACCUUGAAGGCAUUUCAGAUACCUUGGGGGCAGCCUCUCCCAUCACAGGCCCAAAGGCCUAGGAGGGAAGGAUGGUUUCCUGGGCCAGGCUCAGGGUCCUGCUGCCCUGCACAACCUCAGGAAACUGCUCUCCAAAUCCCAGCUGCUCCAGCUCCAGCUUCAGCUCAAAGGGCCCCAGGUAUAGCUCAGGCUGCUGCUCCAUAGGAUGCAAGUUAUAAGCCUUAGUGGCUCCCGUGUGGUGUUAAAUUAAGCCUGUAGGUGCACAGAGUGCAAGAAUUGAGGCUUGGGAGCCUCCAACUAGAUUUCAGAGUAUGUGUGGGAAAGCCUGGAUGUCCAGGCAGAAGCCAGCUGCAGGGACAGAGCCCUCAUGGAGAACCUCUACUAGGGUAGUGUGGAGGGGAAAUUUGGGGUUGGAGUUCCCACACAGCUUCCCCUCUGGUGUACUGCCUAGUGGAGCUGUGAGAAGACAGCCACUGUCCUCCAGAUUCCAGGAUGAUAGAUCUGCCAAUGACAGCUUGCACUGUACAACUGGAAAAGCCACAGGCAGUCAAUGCCAGCCCGUGAAAGCAGUGACAGUGGCUUACCCUGCAAAGUCCCAGGGGCUGAGCUGCCCAAGGCCUUGGGAGCCCACCCCUUGCACCAGUGUGCCCUGGAUGUGAGAUAUGGAGUCAAAGGAGAGUAUUUUGGAGCUUUAAGAUUUAAUGACUACCUGCUGGGUUUCAGACUUGCAUGGGUCCAGUAGCCCCUUUCUUUUGGCCAAUUUCUCACUUUUGGAAUGGGAGUGUUUACCCAAUUCCUGUACCCCCACUGUAUGUUGGAAGUAACUAACUGUUUUUUUAUUUUGUAAGCUCACAGGUGGGAGAGACUUGCCUUGUCUCAGGUUGAGACUCUGGACUUUGGACUUUUGAAUUAAUGCUGGAAUGAGUUAAGACUUUGAGGGACUGUUGGGAAGAUAUAACUGUAUUUUGCAGUAUGAGAAGGACAUGAGAUUUGGGAGACACCAGAGGUGGAAUAAUAUGAUUUGGAUCUGCAUCCCCACCAAAAUCUCAUGUUCAAUUGUAAUCCUAAAUUUUGGAGGUUGAGCCUGGUGGAAGAGGAUUGGAUAAUGGGGGUGGUUUCUCAUGGUUUAACACCAUCCCCCUGGGUGCUGUUCUCAUGACAGUGAGUGAGUUAUUGUGAGAUCUGAUUGUUUAAAAGUGUGUGCCACCUCCUCCCACUUUCCUCCUGCUCCAGCCAUGUAAGACAGGCUUGCCUCCCCUUCACCUUUUGUCAUGAUUGUAAGUGUUCUGAGGCCUCCCCAGCCAUGCUUCCUGUACAGCCUGCAGAACUGUGAGCCAAUUAAACCUCUUUUCUCUAUAUAUUACCCAGUCUCGGGUAUUUCUUUAUAGCAGUGCAAGAAUAGACUAAUACAGGGUUCAAUUCAGCAAGAGGAUAUAACAAAUAUAAAUAUAUAUGCACUCAACACUGCAGCACCCAGAUAUAUAAAGCAAAUACGAUUAGAGCUAAAGAGAGAGAGUGACCCCAAUACAAUAAUAGCUGGAGACUUCAACACCACAUUUUCAGCACUGGACAGAUCUUCCAGACAGAAAAUAAAAAAGAAACAUCAGACUUAAUCUGCACUGUAGAUCAAAUGGAUCUAAUACAUACUUGCAGAACAUUUUAUCCAAUGGCUGCAGAAUACACAUUCUUUUUUAGCACAUGUAUCAUUCUCAAGGAUAGACCAUAUGUUAGGUCACAAGUCUUAAAACAUUAAAAAAGUUGAAUACCAUCAAGCAUCUUCUCUGACCACAGUGGAAUACAACUAGAAACUAAUAACAAGAGGAAUUUUUGAAACUACAAAUACAUGAAAAUUAAACAAUAUGCUCCUGAAUGACCAUUGAGUCAAUGAAGAAAUUAAGAAGGAAAUUGAACAAUUUCUUGAAACAAAUGAUAAAGGAAACACAACAUACCAAAACCUAUGGGAUACGGCAAAAGCAGUACUAAGAGGCAAAUUGAUAGCUAUAAGUGCCUACAUGAAAAAAGAGGAAAAACUUCAAAUAAGCAAUUUAACAAUGAACCUUAACCAGAAAAGCAAGAGCAAAACAAACACAAAAUUAGAAGAAAACAAAUAAUAAAAAUUAGAGCAUAAAUAAAUAAAAUUGAAAUAAAAAUCAAUGCAAAAGAACAAUGAAACAAAAAGUUGCUUUUUUUCAAAAGUUAAACAAAACUGACAAGCCUUUAGCAAGACUGAGAAAAAAGAGACAAGAUACAAAUCAGAAAUGAAAAAGACAUUACAACUGACACUGCAGAAAUUCAAAGGAUCAUUAGGGGCUACUAUGAGCAACUCUAUGCCAAUAAAUUGGAAAAUCUAGAAGAAAUUGACAAUUCCUAGACACAUACAACCUACUGAGACUGGACCAGGAAGAAAUCCAAAACCUGAACAGACUAAUAACAAGUAACAAGGUUGAAGCCAUAAUAAAAAGUCUCCCACUAAAGAAAACCAAGGACCCGAUGGCUUCACUGUUGAAUUCUACCAAACAUUUAAAGAAGAACUAAUACCAAUCCCACUCAAGCUAUUGAAAAAUAGAGGAGGAGAGAAUAUUUCCAAAGUCAUUCUAGGAGACCAGUAUCACCCUGAUACCAAAACCAGACAAAGACACAUCAAAAAAAGAAAACUGCUGGCCAAUUUCUCUGAUGAAUAUUGAUGCCAGAAUCCUCAGCAAAAUAUUAGCAAACUAAAUUCAACAAUACAUUAAAAAGAUCAUUCAUCAGGGUCGGGUGCAGUGGCUUAAGCCUCUAAUCCCAGCACUUUGGGAGGCCGAGGUGGGCAGAUCACCUGAGGUCAGGAGUUCAAGACCAGCCUGACCAACAUGGUGAAACCUCGUCUCUACUGAAAAUACAAAAUUAGCCGAGUGUGGUGGUGCAUGCCUGUAAUCCCAGCUACUCAGGAGACUGAGGCAGGAGAAUCACUUGAACCCAGGAGGUGGAGGUUGCAGUGAGCUGAGAUUGUGGCACUGCACUCCAGCCUUGGUGACAGAGUGAGACUCCAUUAAAAAAAAAAUCAUUUAUCAUGACCAAGUGGGAUUUAUCCCUGGAAUGCAAGGAUGGUUCAACACAUGCAAAUCAAUCAAUGUAAUACAUCAUAUCAAAAAGAAUGAUUAAAACCAUAUGAUUAUUUCUAUUGAUGCUGAAAAAGUAGUUUAUAAAAUCCAACAUCCCUUCAUGAUAAAAACCCUCAAAAAACUGUAUAAAAGAAAUAUACCUCAACGUAAUAGCCAGAUAUGACAGACCCACAGCUAGUAUCAUACUGAAUGGGGAAAAAGUGAAAGACUUUCCUAUAAGAUCUGGAACACAACAGGGAUGUUCACUGUCACCACUGUUAUUCAACAAAGUACUGGAUGUUCUAGCUAGAGCGAUCAGACAAGAGAAGAUAUAAAGGCCAUCCAAACUGGAAAGGGAGAAGUUAAAUUACCCUAGUUUGCAGAUGAUAUGAACUUAUAUUUGGAAAAAACCUAAAGGCUCCACAGGAAAACUAUUAGAAUCAAUAAAUUCAGUAAAGUUGCAGGACACAAAAUCAACAUAUAAAAACCAGUAGCAUUUCUAUAUGUCAACAGUGAACAAUUUGAAAAAUUUUAAAUUUAAGAAGGUAAUUUCAUUUACAAUAGCCACACAUAAAAUUAAAUACCUAGGAAUUAACCAAAAAUGUGCAAGAUAUCUAUGAGGAGAAUUAUAAAACAUUGAUGAAAGAAAUUGAAGAGGACACAAAAAAAAUGGAAAAAAUUCCAUCUUUAUGGAUUGGAAGAAUCAAUAUUGUUAAAAUGUCCAUACUACCCAAAGCAAUCUACAGAUUUAAUGCAAUCCCUAUCAAAAUACCAAUAAUAGUCUUCAGAGAAAUAGAAAAAAAAAUCCCAAAAUUUAUAUGAAAACACAGAAUGCCCAGAAUAGCCAAAAUUAUAUUAAGCAAAAAGAUCAAAACUGGAGGAAUCACAUUACCUGACUUCAAAUUAUGCUACAGAGCUAUAAUCACCAAAACAGCAUGGUACUGACAUAAAAACAGACACAUAGUCCAACAGAACAGAAUAGAGAACCUAGAAACAAAUCCACACACUCACAGGGAACUCAUUUUUGACAGAGUUGCCAAGUACUUAUACUGGAGAAAAGAAAAGACAGUCUCUUCAAUGAAAUGGUGCUGGGAAAACUGGAUAUCCAUAUGCAGAAGAAUGAAACUAGACCCCUACCUCUCACUGUAGACAAAAGUCAAAUCAAGGCUAGGCAUGGUGGCUUACACCUGUAAUCUCAGCACUUUGGGAGGCUGAGGCAGGCGUAUCACGAGGUGAAGAGAUUGAGACCAUCCUGACCAACAUGGUGAAACUCACCCCCCCCCACCCACUAAAAAUACAAAAAUUAGCUGGGCGUGAUGGCAUGUGCCUGCAGUCCUAGCUACUCAGGAGGCUGGGGCAGGAGAAUCGCUUGAACCCAGGAGGUGGAGGUUGCAGUGAGCUGAGAUUGUGCCACUGCACUCCAGCCUGGCGACAGAGCAAGACUCCAUCUCAAAAAAUAAAAAAUAAAUUCAAAAUGUAAUAAAGACUUAAAUCUAAGACCUCAAACAUGAAACUACUAUAAGAAAACAUUGGGGAAAACCUCCAGGACAGUAGUCUGGCCAAAAAUUUCUUGAGCAAUACCCCACAAGCACAGGCAACCAAAAUAAAACUGGACAAAUAGUAUCACAUCAAGUUUAAAAGCUUCUACAAAGCAAAGGAUACAAUCAAUAAAGAGACAACCCACAGAAUGGGAGAAAAUAUUUGCAAACUACCCAUCUGACAAAGAAAUAAUAACCAGAGUAUAUAAGAAGCUCAAACAACUCUAUAGUAAAAAAAAAAAAAAAAAAAAUUCUAAAAGUCUAAGUAAAAAAAUGGGCAAAAGAUUUGAAUAGACAUUUCUCAAAAGAAGACAUACAGGCCAUGCGUGGUGGCUCAUGCCUGUAAUCCCAGCACUUUGGGAGGCCCAGGCGGGUGGAUCACUUGAGGUCAGGAGUUCGAGACCAGCCUGACCAACAUUGUGAAACUCCGUCUCUACUAAAAAUACAAAAAUAAGCCAGGCAUGGUGGCGCACACCUGUAAUCCCAGCUACUCAGGAGGCUGAGGCAGGAGAAUCGCUUAAACCUGGGAGACAGAGGUUGCAGUAAGCCGAGAUCACACCACUGCACUCCAGCCUGGGCAACAAAGUGAGACUCCGUCUCACAAAAAAAAAAAAAAAAAAAAAAAAAAAAGAAAAGAAAAAGGAAGAAGACAUACAAAGCCAGGUACAGUGGCUUAUGCCUCUAAUCCUAGCACUUUAGGAGGCCAAGGCAGAUGGAAUUGAGCCCAGAAGUUUGAGACCAGACUGAGCAAUAUGGUCAAACCCCAAUUCUGCAAAAUACAAAAAUAAAAAAUAGCUGGGAGUGGUGGUGCACACCUGUAGUCCCAGCUACUUAGGAAGCUGAGAUGGGAGGAUCACUUGAGCCUGCAGUGAAUCAUAAUUGCACCAAUGCACUCCAGCCUGGGCGACAGAGUGAGAGACAUUGUCUCAAAAAAAAGAAAAAGAAAAAAAAGAAAGGACAUAAAAAUGACAAACAGGCAUAUGAAAAGGUGCUGAUGAUUAUUGAUCCUCAGAGAAAUGCAAAUCAAAACUGCAAUGAGAUAUAAUCUCACCCCAGUUAAAAUGGCUUAUAUCCAAAAGACAGGCAAUAACAAAUGCUGGUGAGGAUGUGGAUAAAAGGGAACCCUCGUACACUGUUGAUGGGAAUGUAAAUUAGUACAACCACUAUGGAUAACAGUUUAGAGGUUCCUCAGAAAACUAAAAAUUGAGUUGCGAUAUGAUGCAACAAUCCUACUGCUGGGUAUAUACCCCACAAAAGACAAAACCAGCGUUUUGCAUGGUGGCUCACACCUGUAAUCCCAGCACUAUGGGAGGCCGAGGAGGGCAGAUCACUUGAGCCCAGAAGUUCAAGACCAGCCCGAGCAACAUGGCAAAACCUGAUUUCUACAAAAUACAAAAAAAAAAUUAGGCAGUUGUAGUGGUUCACACCUAUAGUCCUAGCUACUGUGGAGGCUGAGGUAGGAUCACUUGAACCUAGGAGGUGGAGGUUGCAGUGAGCCAAGAUCAUGCCACUGCACUCCAGCCUGGGUGACAAAGUGUGACCCUGUCUCAAAAAAGAAAAUCAGUAUAUGGAAGAGGUAUCUGCACUCCUAUGUUUUUUACAACACUGUUUACAAUAGCUAAGAUUUGGAAGCAACCUAAAUGUCUAACAGCAGAUGAAUGGAUAAGGAAAAUUUGGUAUGUAUACACAAUGAAGUACUAUUCAGCCAUAAAAAGGAAUGAGAUCCAGUCAUUUGCAACAGCAUGGAUGGAAGUGGAGAUCAUUAUGUUAAAUGAAAUAAGCCAGGCACAGAAAGGCAAACAUGGCAUGUUCUCACUUAUUUGUGGGACCUAAAUUCAAAACAAUUGAACUAAUGGACAUAAAGAGUAGAAGAAUGGUUACCAGAGGCUAGGAAUGGUAGUGGGGGGCUGAAGGGAAGGUGGGGAUGUUUAAUCGGUAAAAAAAAAUUUAGAAGAAUAAGACCUACUAUUUGAUAGCACAAUAGGGGGACUAUAGUCAAUAAUGCACAUUUAAAAAUAGUGUAAUUGAAUGGUUUGUAACUCAAAGGAUAAAUGCUUGAGGGAAUGGAUACCCCAUUCUCCAUGAUGUGCUUAUUUCACAUUGCAUACCUGUAUCAAAACAUCUCAUGUACCCCAUAAAUAUAUGCAGCUAUUAUGUACCCAC